RNAcentral lists this ribosomal RNA (253 nucleotides) under uncultured bacterium. RNAcentral's name for it is "partial 16S ribosomal RNA". It matches the Rfam family "Bacterial small subunit ribosomal RNA", at positions 524 to 776 of the family's 1533-position model. The record is from RNAcentral.
UACGUAGGGGGCAAGCGUUGUCCGGAUUUAUUGGGCGUAAAGAGCUCGUAGGUGGUUCGGUAAGUCGGAUGUGAAAUCUCCAGGCUCAACCUGGAGGGGUCAUUCGAUACUGCCUUGCUCGAGGACUGGAGAGGAGAUUGGAAUUCACGGUGUAGCAGUGAAAUGCGUAGAUAUCGUGAGGAAGACCAGUGGCGAAGGCGGAUCUCUGGACAGUUCCUGACGCUGAGGCACGAAGGCCAGGGGAGCAAACGGG